CUAAGGUCCCAAAGUCAUGGUUAAGUGGGAAACGAUGUGGGAAGGCCCAGACAGCUAGGAUGUUGGCUUAGAAGCAGCCAUCAUUUAAAGAAAGCGUAAUAGCUCACUAGUCGAGUCGGCCUGCGCGGAAGAUGUAACGGGGCUCAAAUAUAGCACCGAAGCUGCGGCAUCAGUAGCAAUACUGUUGGGUAGGGGAGCGUUCUGUAAGCGGAUGAAGAUGGCUCGAGAGGGCUGUUGGACGUAUCAGAAGUGCGAAUGCUGACAUAAGUAACGAUAAAACGGGUGAAAAACCCGUUCGCCGGAAGACCAAGGGUUCCUGUCCAACGUUAAUCGGGGCAGGGUGAGUCGGCCCCUAAGGCGAGGCUGAAAAGCGUAGUCGAUGGGAAACGGGUUAAUAUUCCCGUACUUGGAUAAACUGCGAUGUGGGGACGGAGCAGGUUAGGUUAUCGCACUGUUGGAUAUGUGCGUUUAAGUUGGUAGGUGUGAAGUUUAGGCAAAUCCGGACUUCUUUAACACUGAGAGAUGAUGACGAGGCUCUACGGAGCUGAAGUAACCGAUACCACACUUCCAGGAAAAGCCACUAAGCUUCAGGUUUAUCUAAACCGUACUGAAAACCGACACAGGUGGUCAGGUAGAGAAUACUCAGGCGCUUGAGAGAACUCGGGUGAAGGAACUAGGCAAAAUAGCACCGUAACUUCGGGAGAAGGUGCGCCGGCGUAGAUUGUAGUCCCUUGCGGAUGAAGGUUGAACCGGUCGAAGAUACCAGCUGGCUGCAACUGUUUAUUAAAAACACAGCACUCUGCAAACACGAAAGUGGACGUAUAGGGUGUGAUGCCUGCCCGGUGCUGGAAGGUUAAUUGAUGGUGUAAUCGAAAGAGAAGCUCCUGAUCGAAGCCCCAGUAAACGGCGGCCGUAACUAUAACGGUCCUAAGGUAGCGAAAUUCCUUGUCGGGUAAGUUCCGACCUGCACGAAUGGCAUAAUGAUGGCCAGGCUGUCUCCACCCGAGACUCAGUGAAAUUGAAAUCGCCGUGAAGAUGCGGUGUACCCGCGGCUAGACGGAAAGACCCCGUGAACCUUUACUAUAGCUUGACACUGAACAUUGAAUUUUGAUGUGUAGGAUAGGUGGGAGACUUAGAAGUAGUCACGCCAGUGAUUAUGGAGUCGUCCUUGAAAUACCACCCUUUAACGUUUGAUGUUCUAACGAAGAUUACGAAACGUGGUCUCGGACAGUGUCUGGUGGGUAGUUUGACUGGGGCGGUCUCCUCCCAAAGAGUAACGGAGGAGCACGAAGGUUUGCUAAUGACGGUCGGACAUCGUCAGGUUAGUGCAAUGGUAUAAGCAAGCUUAACUGCGAGACAGACAAGUCGAGCAGGUACGAAAGUAGGUCAUAGUGAUCCGGUGGUUCUGAAUGGAAGGGCCAUCGCUCAACGGAUAAAA
RNAcentral lists this ribosomal RNA (1438 nucleotides) under human gut metagenome. RNAcentral describes it as "bacterial LSU rRNA". It matches the Rfam family "Bacterial large subunit ribosomal RNA", at positions 1039 to 2461 of the family's 2925-position model. The record is from RNAcentral.